GUCCACGCCGUAAACGAUGGGCACUAGGUGUCGCGGGUAUUGACCCCUGCGGUGCCGUAGCUAACGCAUUAAGUGCCCCGCCUGGGGAGUACGGCCGCAAGGCUAAAACUCAAAGGAAUUGACGGGGGCCCGCACAAGCGGUGGAGCAUGUGGUUCAAUUCGACGCAACGCUAAGAACCUUACCCGGGCUGGAAAACACAGAAGCCGGUGGAAACACUGGUGUGCUCGCAAGAGAGCUGUGGCUCAGGUGCUGCAUGGCUGUCGU
RNAcentral lists this ribosomal RNA (265 nucleotides) under uncultured bacterium. Its description in RNAcentral is "partial 16S ribosomal RNA". It matches the Rfam family "Bacterial small subunit ribosomal RNA", at positions 793 to 1055 of the family's 1533-position model. The record is from RNAcentral.